CCCAAAAGAGCAAAGGCUGGAUUGAAUCCGCAAGGAUGUUCAGAAAAUCCGUAAACACUUUAGCACCUCUUUUUCGCACCCGCUGUUGGCAUGUCAUUCGACGAAAAUACCAUUUGGAUGAAGUUGCACCGAUAGGCUCUCAGCCGGACAUAAGUUCACCAGAAUAUCAGGAUAAUUAUGUUCGCAUGAAAGCACUUGUGGAGGAAUUAAAACAGAAUGUUGGAAGGAUUUGUGAAGGUGGCGGGCAAAAGGCCAGGGACCGACAGACCUCCCGGGGUAAGAUGCUGCCAAGAGACAGAAUCAACAACCUGUUGGACCCAGAGUCGCCUUUCCUUGAGUUGAGUCAGUUGGCGGGUUACAAUUUGUACAAGGGAGAAGAUGUCCCUGCAGGGGGGAUAAUCACUGGAAUCGGGCGAGUAUCAAAUGUGGAGUGUAUGAUCGUCACCAAUGACCCCACAGUAAAGGGAGGAUCUUACUACCCCAUCACAGUGAAAAAACAUCUGAGAGCCCAAGAGAUAGCUCAGCAAAACAACCUGCCAUGUAUUUAUCUAGUGGAUUCCGGCGGGGCUAAUCUACCUCGACAAGAUGAAGUCUUCCCAGACAGGGACCACUUUGGUCGCAUAUUUUUCAAUCAAGCCAAUAUGUCCGCUCAAGGAAUUCCGCAGGUAGCAGUAGUACUUGGCAGCUGUACUGCGGUCGGGGCCUAUGUCCCAGCCAUGUCAGAUGAGAGUAUCAUUGUCCGGAAACAGGGAACAAUAUUUUUGGCUGGUCCACCUCUAGUGAAGGCUGCCACAGGGGAGGAAGUGUCAGCAGAAGACCUUGGCGGAGCGGACUUGCAUUGUGGGAAGUCAGGUGUGACGGACUACUAUGCCCAGGACGACCAGCAUGCACUGCACCUGGCUAGGAGGGUCAUUAGAAACCUUAACUACGAAAAAUCUCCUGGGGUAACUAUUGAGACCCCUGAAGACCCUCUGUACCCAAGUGAUGAGCUGUAUGGGAUUGUAGGAGACAACCUGAAGAAAACCUUCGACAUCAGGCAGGUUAUAGCCAGGCUGGCGGAUGGUAGCCGCUUUGAUGAGUUUAAGGCAAUGUAUGGUGACACAUUGGUAACUGGAUUUGCCAGACUCUGGGGCUAUCCAGUCGGUAUCAUAGGAAACAAUGGUGUCUUAUUCUCCGAUUCCGCACUUAAGGGAACACAUUUUAUUGAAUUGUGCAGCAAAAGAGGAAUCCCUUUGAUAUUCCUGCAAAAUAUCACAGGUUUCAUGGUGGGGAGUGAGGCGGAGGCAGGUGGAAUAGCGAAGAAUGGCGCUAAGAUGGUGACUGCUGUGGCAUGUGCUAAAGUGCCCAAGUUGACCGUCAUCAUUGGCGGGUCCUAUGGUGCCGGCAACUAUGGUAUGUGUGGUCGAGCCGUACAGCCCACGUUUUCUGUACAUGUGGCCCAACUCCCGUAUAUCAGUGAUGGGGGGUGAGCAGGCUGCCAAUGUACUUGCACAGAUUACACGGGAACAACGAGCUCGUGAAGGAAAGCCGUGGACAGAAGAGGAGGAGAAGGCUUUGAAGGACCCUGUAAUAAAGAAGUAUGAGAAGGAAGGUAGUCCUUACUACGCCAGUGCUAGGUUAUGGGAUGAUGGUGUGAUUGAUCCUGCAGAUACUCGGACGGUGCUUGGAUUGAGUCUGAGCGCUGCUCUCAAUGCUCCUCGACAAGAGACAUCUUUUGGAGUGUUCCGAAUGUAAUCAGUGUAUCAUAGUUGU
RNAcentral lists this unclassified non-coding RNA (1752 nucleotides) under Haliotis rubra (blacklip abalone). Its description in RNAcentral is "methylcrotonoyl-CoA carboxylase beta chain, mitochondrial-like, transcript variant X2". Lineage: Eukaryota; Metazoa; Mollusca; Gastropoda; Lepetellida; Haliotidae. The record is from RNAcentral.